RNAcentral lists this ribosomal RNA (460 nucleotides) under uncultured bacterium. RNAcentral's name for it is "partial 16S ribosomal RNA". It matches the Rfam family "Bacterial small subunit ribosomal RNA", at positions 338 to 795 of the family's 1533-position model. The record is from RNAcentral.
CCUACGGGUGGCAGCAGUGAGGAAUAUUGGUCAAUGUACGAGAGUCUGAACCAGCCAAGUAGCGUGAAGGAUGACUGCCCUCUGGGUUGUAAACUUCUUUUAUAUGGGAAUAAAAUGUUCCACGUGUGGGAUUUUUUAUGUACCAUAUGAAUAAGGAUCGGCUAACUCCGUGCCAGCAGCCGCGGUAAUACGGAGGAUCCGAGCGUUAUCCGGAUUUAUUGGGUUUAAAGGGAGCGUAGGUGGGUUGUUAAGUCAGUUGUGAAAGUUUGCGGCUCAACCGUAAAAGUGCAGUUGAAACUGGCAGUAUUGAGUACAGUAGAGGUGGACGGAAUUCGUGGUGUAGCGGUGAAAUGCUUAGAUAUCACGAAGAACUCCGAUUGCGAAGGCAGCGCACUGGACUGCAACUGACACUGAGGCUCGAAAGUGUGGGUAUCAAACAGGAUUAGAUACCCUGGUAGUC